GACUGUGCAAAAUGCCUUUUAUCCACAACUCUAAGUCUACCAGAUCCUACAGUAAUCCAUCUGCCUUUCCUAGUUUGUCUCUGCGGCAGUGGCUUUGCAGCAGUUCCAGUCUGAGUUUGUUCACCAGAUAAUUUACAAAUCUCAGACUUCAAAAAUACAAUCUCCUGCCGCAAGAUAGAGAACUGUCUACAGAUUAGACAACAACCAAAC
Molecule: non-coding RNA, 210 nt
Organism: Pelobates cultripes (western spadefoot toad)
Lineage: Eukaryota; Metazoa; Chordata; Amphibia; Anura; Pelobatidae
Source: the annotation of a GenBank genome assembly